AGUUGACCGAGCCCCGGCAGGGAAGUUGCUGCAGCCGCCCGGGUCAUCGGCCCUCCCGUAUCCCCGGGCCCCAGGCUGUGCGCGGUGUCUGCGGCUGGGACCCGCCCAAGUGACACGUACAGUUGCCCCUAGCAUGACUGCGAUCUGAUCAGCAACCACAGAACCUGACUCCUGUGUCCGGCGCCUUAGUCCUGGGGCCUGGUCACUGCCCAUCACUCCGGACCUGCCAUGGCUGCUGCUUUCACGUCCACGCCUGUCAUUUCACAGCCCCAGGUAUGUGAUUCAGGACCAGCAUAGGUUUGGGCUUGUCAUUGUAUUGUUGAAUAUUUCAGUUGAGUUUCGGAAAGUGUGUUGGAUUCUGGAGGUCAUGUGUCUACAGAAUGAUCAUUUGGUGGGGAUUUGGGUAGGGGAGUUUUUGUGAAGGGGGUGCUUUUGGUUCUCAGUGCCUGGGAUGUCUGGCUGCCCCUGUAGGCCCCAAACUUCCCAUCAAGACAGCCAAUAGUGUAUAUGUGUGAGUGGGUUGCUUUGCUGUACAGCAGAAAUGGACACAAUAUGGUAAAUCAACUAUAAUUAAACAAAAGUACUGUUAAAAAAAUGGAGUCUUUCAUGUAAAAAAAAAAAAAAAAAAAAGACAGCCAGUAGCAAAUCCUGCUAUUUUCCCUCCUUUGGCUUUUUUAGGGCUUAUCUCAGAACAGAUCUAAUCUUCCAGCAAGUUUUCUGAAUAUUGUCUUGAUGUCCUCCUCUUAUAAUGAUGAUUAUUUUCCCUGGAUAUGUUUGAGUAACUUUGAGGAGAAAAAUGCAAUUCUAGAAACUUCUGAGCAGCGGUAACAUGAGUUCCUCUUUCUGUCCAGGGAAGAACAGUAACAUAGCAGGAGCACUGUUCUGUCUGUUUUACAAUCUGACCUCUUCAAGUAUUAACAGACUCUUGAGUUUCAGCAGGCUCCAUGGUACCCUGGGGAAGCAGACUUUGGAGUUCUUAGGGCUGCGUUCACAUCUCAGCUGCUGGCUCAGGGGCCUUAGUCAUGUUUACCUUGCUCGGUUUCCAUUUCUUAGGUCAUCGUACCUCCCAGCCUGGUUAUAGGGAUUGAACGAGGGUCUCUAUGCGAAGCACUCAGUAGGUGUUCAACAAGUAUGGUCUCCCAUUUGCUCUUCCUUUAGCAUCUUCUCUUCCUUAGAGUGUGACCUCCUGUGUCCUUGAUGAGAAUUGUUUUAGGCCAAGUUGGAAGGAAAAAGUACACCUUUGAGAAAAAGCCACAGUUGAAAUUUGAAUCUUUGUGUUGUGAAAUGUUGUUCCAUGCUUUUUUUCCCACUGCAUCAUAAUUUGCGGGAUACUAAAGUGUGUGUGUGUGUGUGUGUGUGUGUGUGUGUAUUGUAUAUAAGUUUUAUGUGGUAUGGGAGCCUUCAUAAGGAAAUGGCUAUCUGAAGUAACAGACCUAUGAUUUUGAUGCUGGUUUUGUUUUUAAAAUUGAAGUAUAGUUGUUUUUCCAAGUUGCGUUAUUAUCAAGGGUACAGCAAAGUGAUUUAGUUAUGCAUAUGUGUAUUUGUGUGUAUAUAUACAUAUAUUCUUUUUCAGAUUCUUUUCCAUUAUAGUCUAUUUGGAGAUACUGAAUAUAGUUCCCUGUGUUCUACAGUAGGUCCUGGUUGUAUGUCUUUCAGGUAGGGGUAUGUAUAUGGGUGUGUGUGUUAAGAAGGGGAGGAAGGGAAAGGAAGGAGAGGGAGAAAGGGGCAUUUCUACUUUUAUUUACUAGAAAUGCUUUUCUUCUCUAAAAGACCUUGGCAUUUAUCAUAUGGAUGCGGUCCUUGCUGCUUCCUAACACUGUAAAGUUUUUAGCCUCAUUUUUCAGGCUGUUUAGUGUUCUCAUCAUCAUAUGUAUUGUUCUUCUCUGGUAAAUGGAUCAUUGCCUUUUCACCACUUCAUUUACUUUGGGUGUUUGGUUUCCAUUCCCCUCAAUAUUGUUCUUGGUGCCCGAGAGACAUGGUGAAGGGGUAAAAAGAUUUAGUGCCGGUUACCUGAGGUCACCAUUUCAAAGUCUGCUGCAAGUCCCCUGCUAAGACUAGUCUUGGCGUUUUAUUGGGGUAAGUUAGGCCCUAAUACAGGUUUUCUGGACAUUUCAGCAGCCCAACCUUACACUCUCAUUGGACGGCAUUUCCAACAGCAUCAUCUUAUCUACACAUCUUCCCUCUUACCCAAGCUACUCUCAGCCGUGAUUAAUAUAAACACUUUUAAAUGACUCAUUUAAUGAAAAUGUUUAGCACCGCCCUAGGUAGAAAGAGGUCAUAUUUAAUAUAAACUCUUGGGGAAAUGUGUACUCUUAUAAGUUCUGUGUGAGAAAGUAAAUUACAGUCAUUCUGGAGAGUAACUUGAAAGUAUCUAUUAAAAUUAAAUAUAGAACUACCAUAUGAUCCAACACUCCCACUCCUGGGCAUAUAUCCAGAGAAAACCACAAUUCAUAAAGAUACAUGUACCCCAGUGUUCAUUGCAGCACCAUUUACAAUAACCAAGACAUGGAAACAGCCUCAGCGUACAUCUACAGAGGAUUGCGUAAAGACAAUGUGGUGCAUAUAUACAAUGGAAUAUUACUCAGGCAUAAAAAAAAUAAUGUCAUUUGCAGCGACAAGAAUGGACCUAAAGAUUUUCAUAUCGAGUGAAGGAAGUCAGACAGACAAAUAUCAUGUGAUAACACUUAUAUGUGGAAUCUAAUAAAAAUGAUACAAAAGAACUUAUUUAAAAAACAGAAACAAACUUACAGAUUUCACAAGCAACCUUAUAGUUGCCAUAGGUGAAACUGUGGUGGAGGGGAGGGAAUAACACAUACACCCUAGUAUAUAAAAUAGGUGGUUAAUGAGAGCCUACUGUAUAACACAGAAAAGUUGCCUCAAUAGUUCGUAAUAACUUCCAUGGGAAAAAAAGAAUGGCUAUGUUUAUAUGUAUGACUGAUUCACUUUGCUAUACACCUGGGACUAAUACAACACUGUAAAUCAGCUCUACACUAAUAAAAUAAAAUUUAAAAAAAUUUGUGUACCUUUGUACAUAAGCUGUUCCCAUCUUGGUACCUAUGUUAGAAAGGCAUGAGCCCAAGGAGAUGUGCGGGAAGAUAUUCAUUGAAGGCCAAGAAGUCCAAAACUUGAUAAUAUUCAAUAGUAGAAGGACUUUAAUAAAAUCAGUUACGUUGAUAUGAUUUAAAUAUUAUUCAGUAGUUAAAUGAUGGAUGUCUGUCUAUCUCAACACAGCUCUGUCUCCUCUAGGUGCCCAGUAGAGGGGGAGAAAAAGAAAGAUUCAGACUAAUACUUACAGGAAGAUGUCAUUAAAACUGUAAAACGGGACCAUGUGUUUUUAGGGAUAAGCGUUAAUAUAAAUGCGUAGUGAAAGGUCUGGAAUGUAUACUGUCAGUGGGAGUGAUGUUGCCCCCAGCAGGGCAAAAGUUGGAUCUUGGGAGAUGGAAAAAAUCGCUCCAGAGCCUAACCCUGCCUGAUGAAAUCCUGUUCCUUAGUAUUUAAUUUCUCAUGAGGGAGAAUUCAAAGUUAAUCAACAUUUUUUCCUUGAGAGUCACCAAUAGUUAAAAAAAAAAAAAAAGUCAAAAAACAUCGGUUUAGAAGGAUGUACAGGUCUCUCUAGUCACACUACCUGGGUUCAAAUUCUGGCUCUAACAUUUACUAACUGAGCCUGUGGGGGAGGGUGGGAGAAGAUAUUCCUUCUCUCAGUGCCUCAAUUCCCUCAUCUGCCAAAUGAGCAUCAUCAUAAUAAAACCAACUUCAUAAGGUGGUUUUAAGGUUGAAAUCGGAUCAUGUGUGUAAAAAACUUAGUAUCUGACAUAUUGCUCAAGACAUUGCUGUGUUGCCCAGCAAGCACAGUGGCAGGCCUGGGGAUGCAAGAAUCCGUAAAAUAAAGAAGGUUUUUACCCUGUCAGAGUUUAGAAGUGUGGUGGGAAAUACCAGAAUAAGGAAACAAAAAAUUACAAUACUGGGUGACAAAUGCUAUGGUAUAGAAAGUACAGGUGUCCAGGGUUUAAGUGGAACGCUGGAAAAGAGGAUCAGAGAAGGCUUCUCAAAGGAAGACUGCCAGGUUGGGAAGUUAGGAAUGAGUACGAAUUAUACCAGUAAGGGGGAAAACAUAGCCUGUGUAGGUUUCAGGUCUCCCAAGGUGAGCGAGUACACAGCAUUUGGAUGUUAGUUGAGGGGUAGCUGGAGUAGAGUGGGGUGUGAGUUUGUCAACAGUGAUGUCUAGAGCCAGCUCUCCCAGCUCACAAGAUCUUAUUGUUCAACUUUCUCGUGAGCCCACUGACUACAUGCUUGUAGCUUGAAAUCAGCCAGCGUGGAGUAUUUACACCACGGAAAUUGGCAAACACAGGCCCUCAUUCCUAAGAGCCCAUUGUUAAAUAUUUAUCAGCCUCCUUCUGGCUGUAGAGGAGGUCGGUGAAUGGGUUACAAGGUUGGAGAUGAUUUUGCAGGGCCUCGUGGGCCACGUUAAAAGUAUUUAACAUUACCCUCAAAGAAGCCUGCAUAGCUCUUGAGUCUCAGACCUGGGUUCAAACCUUGACGUUUGACAGUUUUGUUGAACUGAUUCAUGAAUGAAUCUUGAUCAAGGAAGUGAAUGCCCUCUUUUUUUUUUCUUUUUCUUUUUUUUUCCUCAUCAGAUGAUGGGAACAACAGUAGUCUCUGAUGUUAGAAGAACUCAAGCCCUCUCAGAAGGAGUCAGCUAUAAGCUGGGCUGUGUGUGUGUGUGGGGGGGGGUCACAGAGAGAGGCAGCUUACUUUUCUGGGAGAUGUGGAUCAUUGGGUCACCUGGUUCCCAGGAUCCUCUUGUCAAUAAGGAGCCUCCUGAUUAUAUGUCCACGCUUCACAUGUGAUUUGUGCAGUUAGAUUUUAAUCCACGGCUGAUUUGCUCUUGCCCCCAAGCCUGUACUCAUGUAUUCUCUCCUAUUAUCAAGGGUCCCCCCCCCCCCGCCCCGUUCAGAGAAGGUAAAAGUAAUUCAAAUACAGCAUCUCCUUAGGCAAAGCAUAAUAAGCAGCUCGCUCAAUCAGUUUAGCCUGGUAUUGUCUGGCACAUCAACUUGCAUUCUUUUAGGGUGAAUUCAGGGACGUGGGCAAAGAUAAGCCCACAUUCAAGUGUGAAAGGCCUGACAAUCCUUUCCUAAGGCAAAAACAACAAUUAAAAAAAAAAAAAA
This 5165-nucleotide long non-coding RNA is filed under the name Sus scrofa (pig). RNAcentral's name for it is "lncRNA (ENSSSCG00035009258.1)". Lineage: Eukaryota; Metazoa; Chordata; Mammalia; Artiodactyla; Suidae. The record is from RNAcentral.